UCAUAACUCUCUCCUUCUUCUCUCUCUUUCCCACGUUCUCUCUUCUUCCUCCGAAAUCUCCUUCGCGCGCUGCUUCUCUCCGCCGGCGAUUGCCCCUCCGCCGGCAAUCUGCCGCGAUGUACUACCUCCGGCCGGCACCACCACUUCAGCCCCUAACCCCUGGUGGUUGGAGCUCCCUCCGACGAGCCGUCGAUACUCCCGUUCGGCUUGUUUUCUCCGUCGGCUCUUCAACCGGUUCUGUUUGAGCCGAGCUAAGUUCUGGCGUUCGAUCGGUGGUCCCCAGUGAACUAGCAGCGUUCCGAUCGCCCUCAGACCUUUCCCCAACGUGUUCCCGGCCACCAGGAGGUCGGGGCAUGGCCGGAUCACCAACGGAGGAGCUUCGGUGGUCCUUUCUCCCACCGGUGCACAGAUCGGGUCUUUAAGCAUUCUAUAAUCAUCCAUUGGAGGCUGUGGAGUUCGGUUUUGAUGAAAUCAAGGCUUAAGCGCACAAAGGUAUACUCCUCUAACCUGAGUUCGAUGAAGCGAGGAUGCGUUAGGCGUCCGGGGCUAGAACUCGCCUUAGGCUUGCCAUGGAUAGAUGCUAAGGGGUGCUGUUGAUGCAUAUAUGGAGGAUGAUGAGUUGAUUAGUGAGAUAGAGAUGCUCUGAUUGAUGAAUGAUUGCAUAAGAAUGUUCUGUUAAUUUCGUUGCUCUCUGAACACAGAUUCUAUUAGAGCUGAAACAAGUUCUUAAAUGUUGAAAUCAUGCUUCGAGUCCUUCUAGACAUUUGAUCUAUACUUCCUAAGCUUCGAUUCGACAUAUUAUGCGUCCAAAAUGAAGUUCAUUUACUACCUCAAAAUCCCCUCGAAAUCUCGGAUCUCUGUUCUGCAAUAUGUUUCUGUUAAAGUUUAAAUCUGUUAUUGAAUGUCUGAUUAUUUUGCUGAUUUUAUGCCGAUUUUUGUGAGUUGAAUUUGGCGAUCUUUCUUUCACGAAAAUUGUUCAUUAGGAUCACAAUCAUGACAUAAUUUUUUCUCAGAUUUUUAGGAGUUCAUUCAAUAGGUGAAAAUUCCUUAAUUCAACCCUAGGUCUUGUCUGCCUAUACUGGAACCCGAAAUGAACUUGCUGAAACAUCUUCGUUUGAGUUUGAAAUCGACAUUUUCUGACUUAGAGUCCUUAACGAAGUUUGUAAAGCACUCAAAUCAGUCUUUAAAAUACUAAAGAUAUCCCUGAUCGGAGUUCAUUUGGCACCUGAAAUCAAUUUUCAAAGUUGCAGCAAGAGUAAGUUGGUUUUUGGCUGUAACCGAACUGAAACUGCACAUUUUACUAUUUUUGUACAGAACAGGAAAAUCGAUUUUCGAGUUGCAUCCUUCUGUGAACUUGUAAAUUCAGGUCUCAUGCACGUCAUAUAUAUUUUUUUAGAAUUUUUAGACAACAUUUGGUACCUGAAAUCAUCUCAUAUUCUCAGGUUGUUCAUUCUGCCCAGUACUGAUCCGAAUUGCAUUCCUGCAAAAUUCAUUGUCAAAUUGGACUUAAUUGUUCAAGUGACCUUCAUGAACAUCAUAGAGCAUCAUGUUAACUCACUAGUGACACUCUCCAUGCAUCAAUUGCUCGUCAUUAGUGUGUUUAAUCAAUUGAAAUUCCUUAACCCCUAAAUCUGUCAAUUAGGGAUUAAGCUGUUUAUGUAGCACUCUUGUCAAUUUUAUAGGAAUUUUUCUGUUCACAAUCAAAACAUGGAGUCUUCUAGACUUUUGUAAAGGGCUAUUCAAGCUUCGCAUUGACGUAUUACAUGUAUUUUUUGCAUGUCAUUUGGUAGGUUAAAAUCAUGCACAAACAUGCUACCACGUUCUGUCAUAUUGCAUUUCAUGCAUCAUGAACAUUAAUUCAUGCUUAAUAGUUCAUGGACUUGUAUGGUCAUUUGCUCAUGUAAUUAGGAUUAGAUGACUAUAUCCUCUUUGUCAUCGCAUUUAGUCCUAAACCAUGUUAAAUUUUCAUACAUUUCAUGCAUCAUUUUAGUUCAUCUUUGCCAUCCAUAAAAUGUCAUUGAAACUAGUUAAUGCAUUGACAUGCUUUCAUGAAAAUCAAACCUAAAGUUGGACUUAAUCGGAUUCAUGCCCUUUUGGUAAGUCGUCAUACAUGUUAUGAAACUUCCAUAGACACCAGGAACAUGUCAUUUGCUUGCCAUUUAGGACAUUUUUCAUUUUUUCUACAAGUUUGCAUUAGGAUCUGCAACUUGUAAAUUCGGAACCCCUGUUCUGUCCAAAGUGAGUUAGACCUCUUGUUGAUUUUUUAUCGAUUUUUCUACAAAUAAUCAGAGGUCAGACCCCUAAUGAAAGUUGUAGGAAAUUCAUUGAAUUACAGUGUCAAAAUUUCGGAAUUACUAAGCAUCAAAUGGUAAGGCAAAUGGCCUUAUCUUUGCAACAAAAACUGCAGCAAUUCCCUUUUUCUGACGCAUUUAAUCGUGUUCCCGAAUUUUUAUAAAAUCAUGUGAACAUUUUUUAGUAAAACUUUCUCUAUGAAAGUUGUUCCUCAUUGUGUGCUUAAGCUACCAUAAUUUUUCCAGAACUUAAUUUCGCAUGGGUCAUGUUCUGUUAAAUAGGUCUUUCUUCCCCUGUUCUGCUGUUCUUUCUCUUUCUUUUAUGAAUUGUCGCAUGAUGAAUGGAAUGAAGCGACCCGAUGUUGGUUCACUAAAUUGAGUGAUUGGAUGAGAAUCAAGGUCUUUGUGACCUACUUGCAUGCUUAUUUUAAGUUGGAUGCAUGUGCUUUCUAGAUGUAUGAUAGGAACCGAUGCAUGCUCAAGGGGAUAUCCAUGGGUUCACAUAGAACCCUAAUUAGGGACUAUGUCACAUUAGUCACUAUAAACGAACGUGCUUGGUGGCUAAUGUACAUAAGUCAUCAUUAAAAUGGAGUGGGUAGGUCGUUAGAUGAGGACGACGCAUGUCUAAAUCAAAGGCGGAUCUCGAAGCCAUUGUUGUGAUUACAUUUGCAUCUUUGCAUCUUCUUGCAUAUUGCGUUCUCUUGUAUGGACAAUUAUUGUGUGUUUUGUGAAUAUUAUGAUGUUCAUUUCCCUUGUAUGUACCUAGUCUAGUUUAGCUUUAGAAUUAGAAUAGGUCUAAGAAGACGGCGGUCUUGAAGAUGACGAAGGUCGAUGUCCGUUCAGACCCUAUUCCUUGUAUACGGUGAUGGUCGAUGUCCUCUCCGACCAUUUCAAUUGUAAAAAUUCAUUCAUUACCCGACAUAUGUCUCGGGCUUUCAAUUCGUGUUGUAAUAAACACCCGACGAGUUGCGGGUUUUAUUUUUUUACACUUAGAAUUGGCUUUGUCUUUUCAA
Molecule: long non-coding RNA, 3304 nt
Organism: Syzygium oleosum
Lineage: Eukaryota; Viridiplantae; Streptophyta; Magnoliopsida; Myrtales; Myrtaceae
Exons: 2
Source: RefSeq, a predicted model, not a curated record